This 103-nucleotide small RNA is filed under the name Streptococcus sanguinis SK355. Its description in RNAcentral is "Streptococcus sRNA SpF41". It matches the Rfam family "Streptococcus sRNA SpF41". The record is from Rfam by way of RNAcentral. Lineage: Bacteria; Bacillati; Bacillota; Bacilli; Lactobacillales; Streptococcaceae.
AAAGUACAAUGAGUAGUAUAUAGUGCUUGUGCCUUGAUUGAGGAGAUUCCGGUUCGAAUCCAGGCUAUUGUGCUAGCAUCUAGGGAACUAGGUGCUUUUAUGA